This 253-nucleotide ribosomal RNA is filed under the name uncultured bacterium. RNAcentral's name for it is "partial 16S ribosomal RNA". It matches the Rfam family "Bacterial small subunit ribosomal RNA", at positions 524 to 776 of the family's 1533-position model. The record is from RNAcentral.
UACGUAGGGGGCUAGCGUUGUUCGGAUUUACUGGGCGUAAAGCGCACGUAGGCGGAUCGUUAAGUCGGGGGUGAAAUCCUGGAGCUCAACUCCAGAACUGCCUUCGAUACUGGCGAUCUUGAGUCCGGAAGAGGUGAGUGGAACUCCUAGUGUAGAGGUGAAAUUCGUAGAUAUUAGGAAGAACACCCGUGGCGAAGGCGGCUCUCUGGGACGGUACUGACGCUGAGACGCGAAAGCGUGGGGAGCGAUCCGG